Molecule: ribosomal RNA, 405 nt
Filed under: uncultured bacterium
Lineage: Bacteria
Description: partial 16S ribosomal RNA
Rfam family: Bacterial small subunit ribosomal RNA
Source: RNAcentral
GACGAACGCUGGCGGCGUGCUUAACACAUGCAAGUCGAGCGGAGCGGCGAACGGGUGAGUAACGCGUGAGUAACUGCCCCCCUCUCUGGGAUAACAUUUGGAAACGGCUGCUAUUACCGGAUAGUGGGGGAUGACUCGGGUCUUAUCAGCUUGUUGGUGGGGUAUGUGCCUACCAAGGCGACGACGGGUAGCCGGCCUGGGAGGGCGUCCGGCCACAUGGGGCUGGGAUACGGCCCAGAAUCCAACGGGAGGCAGCAGUGGGGAAUAUUGCCCAAUGGGGGAAACGCUGAUGCAGCAACGCCGCGGGCGGGAUGACGGCCUGCUGGUUGUAAACCGCUUUCAGCCAUAACGCGGUAGUGGCAGAAGAAGCACCGGCUAACUACGUGCCAGCCGCCGCGGUAAUAC